Molecule: ribosomal RNA, 497 nt
Filed under: uncultured bacterium
Lineage: Bacteria
Description: partial 16S ribosomal RNA
Rfam family: Bacterial small subunit ribosomal RNA
Source: RNAcentral
GAUGAACGCUGGCGGCGUGCCUAAUACAUGCAAGUCGAGCGAACGGACGAGAAGCUUGCUUCUCUGAUGUUAGCGGCGGACGGGUGAGUAACACGUGGAUAACCUACCUAUAAGACUGGGAUAACUUCGGGAAACCGGAGCUAAUACCGGAUAAUAUUUUGAACCGCAUGGUUCAAAAGUGAAAGACGGUCUUGCUGUCACUUAUAGAUGGAUCCGCGCUGCAUUAGCUAGUUGGUAAGGUAACGGCUUACCAAGGCAACGAUGCAUAGCCGACCUGAGAGGGUGAUCGGCCACACUGGAACUGAGACACGGUCCAGACUCCUACGGGAGGCAGCAGUAGGGAAUCUUCCGCAAUGGGCGAAAGCCUGACGGAGCAACGCCGCGUGAGUGAUGAAGGUCUUCGGAUCGUAAAACUCUGUUAUUAGGGAAGAACAGAUGUGGAAGUAACUGUGGACAUCUUGACGGUACCUAAUCAGAAAGCCACGGCUAACUACGUG